ACACCUGACCAAGAAGAUGGCAGACCUAAACAUUUCCCUAAGAGAGCUGAACUCAACUAUGGCCCUUGAACUUCUGAGAGAUGGCAACCCUCUUGGCCUCCAUAUGUCCAUGUUCUCCGAUGCACUGCAAGGCCUGGCAUCCCCUGAGCAACAGCAAAAGUGGGUCAGCAUGAUUGUCAAGAACAAAGUGAUUGGAACAUAUGCACAGACUGAGAUGGGUCAUGGCACUUUCCUAAGAGGACUGGAAACAACGGCAACCUAUGAUUCAAAGACCCAGGAGUUUGUGCUUC
Eriocheir sinensis (Chinese mitten crab) is the source of this 290-nucleotide long non-coding RNA. RefSeq lists it as uncharacterized. The record is from RefSeq and is a predicted model, not a curated record. Lineage: Eukaryota; Metazoa; Arthropoda; Malacostraca; Decapoda; Varunidae. The transcript is spliced from 3 exons.